UACGUAGGUGACAAGCGUUGUCCGGAUUUACUGGGCGUAAAGAGCGCGCAGGCGGUCGAUCAAGUCGAGUGUGAAAGCCCCCGGCUCAACUGGGGAGGGUCAUUUGAUACUGAUCGACUCGAAGGCAGGAGAGGGUAGUGGAAUUCCGGGUGUAGCGGUGAAAUGCGUAGAUAUCCGGAGGAACACCGGUGGCGAAGGCGGCUUCCUGGACCGACACUGACGCUGAGGCGCGAAAGCUAGGGGAGCAAACGGG
Molecule: ribosomal RNA, 253 nt
Filed under: uncultured bacterium
Lineage: Bacteria
Description: partial 16S ribosomal RNA
Rfam family: Bacterial small subunit ribosomal RNA
Source: RNAcentral